UCAUGUAUCAAAAGGUGAGUUUUCAUUAUUUCCACAUUAUAUUAUUGCUGAACAAGUAAAUAUAUAUAUGUCAUUUUGAAAAUGAAAUUUGAGAUAAGUGGUGUCUCAUAACUAUUAAAAGUUGGAAAUGGCCGACUGUUUGUAGGAUCUCAAAUUCUUAGCUUAAAAUUCUGUGUAAACAUGGCCAUGGAGCGAAGAAGCUUGCAGUGAAAGUUGAAUAUCUGGCAAUGGAUGUGUGGCGUUAUUAGAUUGUUAAGGAUUUAUUUCUUCACAUCUUAAUGGAGUUUAUUCUUAAUAAACAGGCAUGGAUAGUGUGAAUGCAUAACUAGGAGAGAAUUUUACUGGCAGAAUUCUUGUGGCUGCCCUCCGGCAACUGUUUCCAUUAUUAUCUUCACAACUUCAUCUGAUUUUAGCACCACCAAUGCAUUCUCCUGCCAUGAAACAGGAGUGACACAUGUCUUAGUCACUGGAGGUGCUGGCUGUAUAGGCUCUCAUGCGGGCGCUUCGACUCCUCAAAGAUUCAUACUCUGUAACUAUAGUGGAUAAUCUUUCCAGAGGCAGUAUGGGUGCUGCUAAAAUUCUCCAAAAGCUAUUUCCAGAGCCCGGACAUCUUCAGCUCAUCUAUGCUGAUCUUGGAGAUGCGAAAUCAGUACUAAGCAACAUUAAUGUAUCAUUUCUGUUAAUGCUUAGUGUGCCUAUAAGAAACUGUAUACAGAUACAUAUUUGACUUUAUUU
Pistacia vera is the source of this 735-nucleotide long non-coding RNA. RefSeq lists it as uncharacterized. The record is from RefSeq and is a predicted model, not a curated record. Lineage: Eukaryota; Viridiplantae; Streptophyta; Magnoliopsida; Sapindales; Anacardiaceae. The transcript has 3 exons.